UACGUGGGGUGCAAGCGUUAAUCGGAAUUACUGGGCGUAAAGCGUGCGCAGGCGGUGAUGUAAGACAGAUGUGAAAUCCCCGGGCUCAACCUGGGAACUGCAUUUGUGACUGCAUCGCUAGAGUACGGCAGAGGGGGAUGGAAUUCCGCGUGUAGCAGUGAAAUGCGUAGAUAUGCGGAGGAACACCGAUGGCGAAGGCAAUCCCCUGGGCCUGUACUGACGCUCAUGCACGAAAGCGUGGGGAGCAAACAGG
RNAcentral lists this ribosomal RNA (253 nucleotides) under uncultured bacterium. Its description in RNAcentral is "partial 16S ribosomal RNA". It matches the Rfam family "Bacterial small subunit ribosomal RNA", at positions 524 to 776 of the family's 1533-position model. The record is from RNAcentral.